UGGGGAAUAUUGCACAAUGGGCGCAAGCCUGAUGCAGCAACGCCGCGUGAGGGAUGACGGCCUUCGGGUUGUAAACCUCUUUUAGCAGGGAAGAAGCGAAAGUGACGGUACCUGCAGAAAAAGCACCGGCUAACUACGUGCCAGCAGCCGCGGUAAUACGUAGGGUGCAAGCGUUGUCCGGAAUUAUUGGGCGUAAAGAGCUCGUAGGCGGUCUGUCGCGUCUGCUGUGAAAUCCCGAGGCUCAACCUCGGGCCUGCAGUGGGUACGGGCAGACUAGAGUGCGGUAGGGGAGAAUGGAACUCCUGGUGUAGCGGUGGAAUGCGCAGAUAUCAGGAAGAACACCGAUGGCGAAGGCAGUUCUCUGGGCCGUAACUGACGCUGAGGAGCGAAAGCGUGGGGAGCGAACAGGAUUAGAUACCCUGGUAGUCCACGCCGUAAACGUUGGGCGCUAGAUGUGGGGACCAUUCCACGGUUUCCGUGUCGCAGCUAACGCAUUAAGCGCCCCGCCUGGGGAGUACGGCCGCAAGGCUAAAACUCAAAUGAAUUGAC
RNAcentral lists this ribosomal RNA (549 nucleotides) under uncultured bacterium. Its description in RNAcentral is "partial 16S ribosomal RNA". It matches the Rfam family "Bacterial small subunit ribosomal RNA", at positions 355 to 914 of the family's 1533-position model. The record is from RNAcentral.